Molecule: long non-coding RNA, 662 nt
Filed under: Capsella grandiflora
Lineage: Eukaryota; Viridiplantae; Streptophyta; Magnoliopsida; Brassicales; Brassicaceae
Description: long non-coding RNA (CGRA_LNC001148)
Source: RNAcentral
GAGCAUCCUCUCUAUAUGUAUAUAUAUAGAACACAUGCACACCACAAACAUAUUACAAAUCACAAAAACAUUCUCUCGAGAUCUUCUAACGCAUAUAUCCGGACACUCGCAAACCUAAAGUUCACGUAACAAUACGUCUAAACCCUAACCAUUAAUUCUCUGACUCUUAUCUCUUUUUCCGAGAUUCCUCAUCGAUGGCAAAAUCUUCUACUAUAAUCAGCUUCAUCACCCUCUUGCUCUUGGUGAGUUGCUUUGUCUUGCCUUGUGCGGCACGUGUUCGUCUUACUCUUGAUCAUGAGCACACGGGUGAUACCUUGGACGACGGAGACAAGGAGCAACAAGACCUAAUCUCGAGCUAUGAUGAUGAAGAUGAAGCAUCACGCCUUCCACCCUUCUUCGACACAGUUGAAGAAGAUGUCAUACGCAAUGAAUCUGAGCCCAUCUCGUUUACCGAACUGAUCGAGAGAGCCGAAUUUUCUGCCAUGAUGAGGCGAUAUCGAUCUUUAGAUCCUUGAUGAAGCCAAUACCAAUAAUGAUCUUAAAAGAUGCCUCUCUCUCUCUCUCUCUCUUUUCUUUUUUUCUUCGCUUUCAUUAGAACUUGUAAUAUUUAUUUUAGCAAAUUUAAAUGUUAUCCCAAGAGGAAUAAAUAUAUAUUUGAUAAA